Molecule: long non-coding RNA, 875 nt
Organism: Armigeres subalbatus
Lineage: Eukaryota; Metazoa; Arthropoda; Insecta; Diptera; Culicidae
Exons: 4
Source: RefSeq, a predicted model, not a curated record
AAAAAAAAAAAGUAGAUUUCUUUAAGGCCUGUGAAAGUGGUCAGUGCAGUGCUAAGAAAAGUUGUUGAAAUUCCGGACCGUUUCGUGUCUGGUAGGCGGCAUCGUUCCGUCUCAGUGUUCGCUGGUGGAAUCGCGAUUGGUGACGCGGACACAGGAAGCACGCACGUGCAAGUUCUCGGAAUACGGCACAACGCCGCCGCAGGAAGAAGAGGCAACGCGCGCGAGUUUUAUUCGUCCACAGCGCAACAGGAAUCACGGAAGAGCGGGUCAAUUAUUGUUACUCCGAAGCUGACGAAGAUCGAGCGCCUGGUGGUGUGACUGGUGAGAGGACAGGCUAAAACGCUCAUCAAAUUGAGCGGAAAUACCCCACUGGGGUUUUUUUUCGUGGAGCCAAUUUCCAUCAUCGAGGUCCGGGAGGAUCGUGAUCGAGGCAGCGGUGCGACAAGGCGACGGGCGGAUUGCCGAUACAUCGAGUGUGCUUCACUCGGCCGGCAGGACCAAGUCGGAGGAGAUUCGUUCGGGAACCAGCAGCCCUUCGGUGGAUCACUCGGAGGGACCCCAUCCAGUUACUUGGUCGCACUGGACGGCCAGAGGGGUCUCCAGCAGAGUGAUUAGGAUGCAUGCGUGGGACGGCAGUGAAAUGCGACAGGCGAACAGUCGCGGCAGCGAAAGCUCCGCCGAGGAAAUAGUGUAGGGGGACGCCCCGAACACAAGAAGGUACCGUGAGUACGGAGAAGAAACCGUGAGUAAGAAAACUGAGGUGUUUUGUAAAGUAGGAAGAUAGAGAAAGAGGAGUGAAAAGGAAAGAAGAUAAGAUGAGUAGGAGGUAGGAAGUAACAGAGGAAAAUGGGUGCAUUACCCUAAAUACAUGUAUU